AGAACGAACGCUGGCGGCGCGCCUAAUACAUGCAAGUCGAGCGAGAAGGUGUAGCAAUACACUUGUAAAGCGGCGAACGGGUGAGGAAUACAUGGGUAACCUACCAUCGAGUGGGGAAUAACCAGCCGAAAGGUUGGCUAAUACCGCGUACGCCUCCAAAUCUUCGGAUUCGGAGGGAAAGCCACACUGUGAGUGUGGCGCUCUUUGAUGGGCUCAUGUCCUAUCAGUCUUGUUGGUAGGUACGCCUACCAAGGCUUUGACGGGUAGCUGGUCUGAGAGGACGAUCAGCCACACUGGCACUGCGACA
RNAcentral lists this ribosomal RNA (307 nucleotides) under uncultured soil bacterium. RNAcentral's name for it is "bacterial SSU rRNA". It matches the Rfam family "Bacterial small subunit ribosomal RNA", at positions 26 to 326 of the family's 1533-position model. The record is from RNAcentral.